Molecule: ribosomal RNA, 253 nt
Filed under: uncultured bacterium
Lineage: Bacteria
Description: partial 16S ribosomal RNA
Rfam family: Bacterial small subunit ribosomal RNA
Source: RNAcentral
UACGUAGGGUGCAAGCGUUAAUCGGAAUUACUGGGCGUAAAGCGUGCGCAGGCGGUUUUGUAAGUUUGUUGUGAAAGCCCCGGGCUCAACCUGGGAAUUGCGAUGAAGACUGCAAGGCUUGAAUCUGGCAGAGGGGGGUAGAAUUCCACGUGUAGCAGUGAAAUGCGUAGAGAUGUGGAGGAACACCGAUGGCGAAGGCAGCCCCCUGGGUCAAGAUUGACGCUCAUGCACGAAAGCGUGGGGAGCAAACAGG